This 293-nucleotide ribosomal RNA is filed under the name Listeria monocytogenes. RNAcentral describes it as "partial 23S ribosomal RNA". It matches the Rfam family "Bacterial large subunit ribosomal RNA", at positions 607 to 899 of the family's 2925-position model. Lineage: Bacteria; Bacillati; Bacillota; Bacilli; Caryophanales; Listeriaceae. The record is from RNAcentral.
UUUGUAGAAUGAACCGGCGAGUUACGAUUUGUUGCAAGGUUAAGCGGAAAAAGCGGAGCCGUAGCGAAAGCGAGUCUGAAUAGGGCGCAUAAGUAACAGGUCGUAGACCCGAAACCAGGUGAUCUACCCAUGUCCAGGAUGAAGGUAAGGUAAUACUUACUGGAGGUCCGAACCCACGCACGUUGAAAAGUGCGGGGAUGAGGUGUGGGUAGCGGAGAAAUUCCAAUCGAACUUGGAGAUAGCUGGUUCUCUCCGAAAUAGCUUUAGGGCUAGCCUCGAGGUAAAGAGUCAUG